AGACCUGGUGCUUACCAGGCUGUGUUCUUACACUGACUGUAUAGAAAGAGGCAGCAGAGUAAACCUACCCUAUGUACACCCCCACCCACACCCCAUGCCUAGCCUGUAUUGUGAAUGCGGGAACAUGG
Molecule: small nucleolar RNA, 128 nt
Organism: Otolemur garnettii (small-eared galago)
Lineage: Eukaryota; Metazoa; Chordata; Mammalia; Primates; Galagidae
Source: Ensembl